GUGUUUCUGUUGAGAGUGAGUGGCAGUGUCUACAGAGCAGUCUAAAGGCCAUAUUUAUGCAUAUUGUCUGUAUCUCUACCACCUCCAUCUCUUGGCUGGAAAGCACACGGUCAACUCCCUAGGUGAAGAGCAUCCCGAAAGUGGGGCAAGCUCGUGUCCACUUCAGAGAGCCUGUUGUUUCUGAGCUGAGUCGUGGGCCAUGGACGUAUUCUCAAGGUGAAAACCGAAGUAUAGAGGGCUGCAGGACCAGACCUCUUCAUGCCUCAGAGGAGCUGUGUAAUGGGAUGCUGCAUGU
Nothoprocta perdicaria is the source of this 295-nucleotide long non-coding RNA. RefSeq lists it as uncharacterized. The record is from RefSeq and is a predicted model, not a curated record. Lineage: Eukaryota; Metazoa; Chordata; Aves; Tinamiformes; Tinamidae. The transcript is spliced from 3 exons.